AGCGAACGCUGGGGGCAGGCCUAACACAUGCAAGUCGAACGAACUCUUCGGAGUUAGUGGCGGACGGGUGAGUAACACGUGGGAACGUGCCUUUUGGUUCGGAAUAACUCAGGGAAACUUGUGCUAAUACCGAAUGUGCCCUUCGGGGGAAAGAUUUAUCGCCAUUAGAGCGGCCCGCGUCUGAUUAGCUAGUUGGUGAGGUAACGGCUCACCAAGGCGACGAUCAGUAGCUGGUCUGAGAGGAUGACCAGCCACACUGGGACUGAGACACGGCCCAGACUCCUACGGGAGGCAGCAGUGGGGAAUCUUGCGCAAUGGGCGAAAGCCUGACGCAGCCAUGCCGCGUGAAUGAUGAAGGUCUUAGGAUUGUAAAAUUCUUUCACCGGGGACGAUAAUGACGGUACCCGGAGAAGAAGCCCCGGCUAACUUCGUG
RNAcentral lists this ribosomal RNA (433 nucleotides) under uncultured bacterium. RNAcentral describes it as "partial 16S ribosomal RNA". It matches the Rfam family "Bacterial small subunit ribosomal RNA", at positions 29 to 507 of the family's 1533-position model. The record is from RNAcentral.